This 1407-nucleotide ribosomal RNA is filed under the name uncultured organism. RNAcentral's name for it is "bacterial SSU rRNA". It matches the Rfam family "Bacterial small subunit ribosomal RNA". The record is from RNAcentral.
CUGGCGGCAUGGCUAAGACAUGCAAGUCGAACGGACCAUAUAAUUGGGUAACCGAAAGUAUGGUUAGUGGCGAAAGGGUGAGGAAUAGAUAGGAACGUACCCUGUGCUCUGGGAUAGCGUCUGAAGCUUCGGCUUCUUCCGAAAGGGGCGGUAAUACCAGAUAAUGUCCUUCGGGACCAAAGAUUUAUCGGCAUUGGAGCGGCCUAUCUCCUAUCAGCUUGUUGGUGAGGUAACGGCUCACCAAGGCAACGACGGGUAGCGGGACUGAGAGGUUGGCCCGCCACAUCGGGACUGAGACACUGCCCGGACCUCCACGGAGGGCUGCAGUAACGGAUAUUGGGCAAUGGGCGAAAGCCUGACCCAGCAAUGCCGCGUGCAGGAUGAAGCCCCUAGGGGUGUAAACUGCUGUCAGGGGUCAGAAAGCUGGUUUCGGCCAGUUGAUCAACCCCAGAGGAAGUCACGGCUAACUUCGUGCCAGCAGCCGCGGUAAUACGAAGGUGGCAAGCGUUAUUCGGAAUCAUUGGGCUUAAAGGGCACGCAGGCGGAACAGUGUGUGUUGUGUGAAAUCCCCCGGCUUAACCGGGGAAUUGCACAGCAAACUGCUGUUCUUGAGGCAGGUAGGGGUGCAUGGAACUCUUGGUGGAGCGGUGGAAUGCGUAGAUAUCAAGAGGAACGCCAGAGGUGAAGACGGUGCACUGGGCCUGUCCUGACGCUGAGGUGCGAAAGCGUGGGGAGCGAACGGGAUUAGAUACCCCGGUAGUCCACGCCGUAAACGAUGUCUACUAGGUCGUGGGUGUUCUGACACAUUCACGGCCGGAGCAAAAGUGUUUAGUAGACCGCCUGGGGAGUACGGCCGCAAGGUUAAAACUCAAAUGAAUUGACGGGGGCUCACACAAGCGGUGGAGCAUGUGGAUUAAUUCGAAGCAACGCGCAGAACCUUACCUGGGUUUGACAUGCUUGUAUGCCUUCUCUGAAAGGAGUUAGGUUGCCUUCGGGUGAAACUUGCACAGGUGCUGCAUGGCUGUCGUCAGCUCGUGUCGUGAGAUGUCGGGUUAAGUCCUUUAACGAGCGAAACCCUUGCCGUUAGUUGCCAGCGAGUAAUGUCGGGGACUCUAACGGGACUGCCGGUGUUAAACCGGAGGAACGCUGGGGAUGACGUCAAGUCCUCAUGGCCUUUAUGCCCAGGGCUUCACACGUGCUACAAUGGCAAUUACAGAGCGACGCGAUACCGCGAGGUGGAGCAAAUCGCAAAAAAAUUGCCUCAGUUCGGAUUGCAGGCUGGCAAUUCGCCUGCAUGAAGUCGGAAUCGCUAGUAAUCGCGUAUCAGCAAUCACCGCGGUGAAUGUGUUCCUGAGCAUUGUACACACCGCCCGUCAAGUGAUGGAAGCCGGGAGUACCCGAAGUCGG